GAUGAACGCUAGCGAUAGGCUUAACACAUGCAAGUCGAGGGGCAGCACAAGGUAGCUUGCUAUCUGGGUGGCGACCGGCGCACGGGUGCGUAACGCGUAUGCAACCUGCCCUAUACAGGAGGAUAACCCGUCGAAAGACGGACUAAUACUGCGUAUGCUCACAACUUGGCAUCAAGUGGUGAGGAAAGAAAUUCGGUAUAGGAUAGGCAUGCGUCCCAUUAGCUUGUUGGUGAGGUAACGGCUCACCAAGGCAACGAUGGGUAGGGGAACUGAGAGGUUUAACCCCCACACUGGUACUGAGACACGGACCAGACUCCUACGGGAGGCAGCAGUGAGGAAUAUUGGUCAAUGGGCGCGAGCCUGAACCAGCCAAGUCGCGUGAAGGAUGACUGUCUUAUGGAUUGUAAACUUCUUUUAUACGGGAAUAACAAGAGUCACGUGUGACUCCCUGCAUGUACCGUAUGAAUAAGCAUCGGCUAACUCCGUG
Molecule: ribosomal RNA, 487 nt
Filed under: uncultured bacterium
Lineage: Bacteria
Description: partial 16S ribosomal RNA
Rfam family: Bacterial small subunit ribosomal RNA
Source: RNAcentral